This 296-nucleotide ribosomal RNA is filed under the name uncultured bacterium. Its description in RNAcentral is "partial 16S ribosomal RNA". It matches the Rfam family "Bacterial small subunit ribosomal RNA", at positions 30 to 334 of the family's 1533-position model. The record is from RNAcentral.
AUUGAACGCUGGCGGUAGGCUUAACACAUGCAAGUCGAGCGGUAACAGGCCUUCGGGUGCUGACGAGCGGCGGACGGGUGAGUAACGCGUAGAAAACUGCCCGGUAGUGGAGGAUAGCCCAGAGAAAUUUGGAUUAAUACCGCAUACGCUCUACGGAGGAAAGCGGGCUUCGGCUCGCGCUAUCGGAUGUGUCUGCGUGAGAUUAGCUAGUUGGUGAGGUAAUGGCUCACCAAGGCGACGAUCUCUAGCUGGUCUGAGAGGAUGAUCAGCCACACUGGGACUGAGACACGGCCCAG